ACGGGAGGCAGCAGUGGGGAGUUUUGCGCAAUGGGGGAAACCCUGACGCAGCAACGCCGCGUGCGGGAUGAAGGCCUUCGGGUUGUAAACCGCUUUCAGCAGGGAAGAAAUUGACGGUACCUGCAGAAGAAGCCCCGGCUAACUACGUGCCAGCAGCCGCGGUAACACGUAGGGGGCAAGCGUUAUCCGGAUUCAUUGGGCGUAAAGCGCGCGCAGGCGGCCGCCUAAGCGAGACCUCUAAUCUCGGGGCUCAACCCCGAGCCGGGUUUCGAACUGGGUGGCUGGAGUAAGGUAGAGGCAGGCGGAAUUCCCGGUGUAGCGGUGAAAUGCGCAGAUAUCGGGAAGAACACCGAUGGCGAAGGCAGCCUGCUGGGCCUUAACUGACGCUGAGGCGCGAAAGCCGGGGGAGCGAACAGGAUUAGAUACCCUGGUA
RNAcentral lists this ribosomal RNA (433 nucleotides) under uncultured Coriobacteriaceae bacterium. RNAcentral describes it as "partial 16S ribosomal RNA". It matches the Rfam family "Bacterial small subunit ribosomal RNA", at positions 341 to 792 of the family's 1533-position model. The record is from RNAcentral. Lineage: Bacteria; Bacillati; Actinomycetota; Coriobacteriia; Coriobacteriales; Coriobacteriaceae.